UUGCUCUGAAUUCUAUGGCUAGAUAAAGUACAAGUCGUAACAAGGUUUCAGUUGGAGAACCAGCUGAAGGAUCAUUU
RNAcentral lists this ribosomal RNA (77 nucleotides) under Enterocytozoon bieneusi. Its description in RNAcentral is "partial small subunit ribosomal RNA". It matches the Rfam family "Eukaryotic small subunit ribosomal RNA", at positions 1754 to 1831 of the family's 1831-position model. Lineage: Eukaryota; Fungi; Microsporidia; Enterocytozoonidae. The record is from RNAcentral.